GGAGAGUUCGCAUAGUGGUCUAGUGCGCACGCUUGGAAAGCGUGUAUACCGCAAGGUAUCAAGGGUUCAAAUCCCUUACUCUCCGCCA
Molecule: transfer RNA, 88 nt
Filed under: Candidatus Falkowbacteria bacterium HGW-Falkowbacteria-1
Lineage: Bacteria; Candidatus Falkowiibacteriota
Description: tRNA-Ser
Rfam family: tRNA
About the family: Transfer RNA (tRNA) molecules are approximately 80 nucleotides in length. Their secondary structure includes four short double-helical elements and three loops (D, anti-codon, and T loops).
Source: RNAcentral